Molecule: long non-coding RNA, 962 nt
Filed under: Solanum tuberosum (potato)
Lineage: Eukaryota; Viridiplantae; Streptophyta; Magnoliopsida; Solanales; Solanaceae
Description: long non-coding RNA (STUB_LNC004951)
Source: RNAcentral
UUAGAUGUGGUGAAAAUAUUUUUAGGUUAGGAUUUCAGAGUUUUAUUCACAAAGGGUUUCACUCUUCACUAUUUUCCGGUCACCACCAACCCGAAAUCCGGCGAAGUUCCGGCAACCCAAAACCCCGUUUCCUUUUGCCAUUUUCCGCGAACAUCAACUCCGGCUAAACAACAACCAAAACAACUCCAAAUUCCAUCGAACUUCCACCUCCAAACCUCACUGCCAGACCAUACCUCACCAAACAACCAUCUAGCCUUCUUCUUCAUCAGUUCGCACGACCAUCUCCACCGGCCAGCAGCUCAACGGAGAAAUCAUCUCCGGUGAAACCCCGAACAGCCACCAGUCCCCAUCCCCUUUUUCUUUGACGAUUCACUUCAUUUUGCAGGUAUUUUAGCAAAACCCGCGCCGCUGCUGGUCAAAGCUUCGACAAGCAACAAACCACCAGCUAACACCACCAUUGCCUCCCCGUUUCUCCAUUUUUUCCAGACCCCAAAAUCCCAUCUCCAUUCGCCACAUUUUCCGAAACAAGCUCCAAACGAGCUCACCACAAAACCACCAGAAGCCCGCUGCUACCAGUGACAACACCCUCACUGUUCUCCCUCUUCUCCGACAAGCUCACACAACCAAUAAACUCUGUUUUCUCUGACCGAAAUCCAGCCAACCAAAUCCCCAAAUCAACCAGAAACCAGAAACCAGUCCCAAGACCCACGACCCAAAUACCCUCUUUUUCCGAGCAAAACAACCAAGCUCCAAGCAGUCAUCUCCGACCCAAAACCACUAGAUCUCACUCCAAACCUGUCAACAACAGCAAGUGAGCACUGCCGGAAGGACCACCUGGAAGCUUUAAGCUUUAAGAUUUAACAAUCAAUGAACUCACUCACUAGUUCAAAUCAGCAACACAACACUAUCAAUUCCAGCAAAUGAGUAAGCCUCUUUAUUUUUAUCUUUUGCUAUUUUACUUU